RNAcentral lists this ribosomal RNA (468 nucleotides) under uncultured bacterium. Its description in RNAcentral is "partial 16S ribosomal RNA". It matches the Rfam family "Bacterial small subunit ribosomal RNA", at positions 28 to 507 of the family's 1533-position model. The record is from RNAcentral.
GACGAACGCUGGCGGCGUGCUUAACACAUGCAAGUCGAACGGAAAGGCCCUGCUUUUGUGGGGUGCUCGAGUGGCGAACGGGUGAGUAACACGUGAGUAACCUGCCCUUGACUUUGGGAUAACUUCAGGAAACUGGGGCUAAUACCGGAUAGGAGCUCCUGCUGCAUGGUGGGGGUUGGAAAGUUUCGGCGGUUGGGGAUGGACUCGCGGCUUAUCAGCUUGUUGGUGGGGUAGUGGCUUACCAAGGCUUUGACGGGUAGCCGGCCUGGGCGGGUGACCGGCCACAUUGGUACUGCGGUACGGCCCAGACUCCUACGUGCGGCAGCAGUGGGGAAUAUUGCACAAUGGGCGGAAGCCUGAUGCAGCAACGCCGCGUGCGGGAUGACGGCCUUCGGGUUGUAAACCGCUUUCGCCUGUGACGAAGCGUGAGUGACGGUAAUGGGUAAAGAAGCACCGGCUAACUACGUG